RNAcentral lists this ribosomal RNA (353 nucleotides) under uncultured bacterium. RNAcentral describes it as "bacterial SSU rRNA". It matches the Rfam family "Bacterial small subunit ribosomal RNA", at positions 29 to 407 of the family's 1533-position model. The record is from RNAcentral.
AACGAACGCUGGCGGCAGGCUUAACACAUGCAAGUCGAACGGGCGUAGCAAUACGUCAGUGGCGGACGGGUGAGUAACACGUGGGAAUAUGCCUUUCGGUUCGGAACAACUCGGGGAAACCCGUGCUAAUUCCGGAUACGCCCUUACGGGGAAAGAUUUAUCGCCGAAAGAUUAGCCCGCGUUGGAUUAGCUAGUUGGUGAGGUAAAGGCUCACCAAGGCGACGAUCCAUAGCUGGUUUGAGAGAACGACCAGCCACACUGGGACUGAGACACGGCCCAGACUCCUACGGGAGGCAGCAGUGGGGAAUCUUGGACAAUGGAGGAAACUCUGAUCCAGCCAUGCCGCGUGAGUG